Molecule: ribosomal RNA, 566 nt
Filed under: Aureobasidium sp. D2-13-2
Lineage: Eukaryota; Fungi; Ascomycota; Dothideomycetes; Dothideales; Saccotheciaceae
Description: eukaryotic LSU rRNA
Rfam family: 5.8S ribosomal RNA (bases 178-331)
Source: RNAcentral
AGAGAAGGUGCUCAGCGCCCGACCUCCAACCCUUUGUUGUUAAAACUACCUUGUUGCUUUGGCGGGACCGCUCGGUCUCGAGCCGCUGGGGAUUCGUCCCAGGCGAGCGCCCGCCAGAGUUAAACCAAACUCUUGUUAUUAAACCGGUCGUCUGAGUUAAAAUUUUGAAUAAAUCAAAACUUUCAACAACGGAUCUCUUGGUUCUCGCAUCGAUGAAGAACGCAGCGAAAUGCGAUAAGUAAUGUGAAUUGCAGAAUUCAGUGAAUCAUCGAAUCUUUGAACGCACAUUGCGCCCCUUGGUAUUCCGAGGGGCAUGCCUGUUCGAGCGUCAUUACACCACUCAAGCUAUGCUUGGUAUUGGGUGCCGUCCUUAGUUGGGCGCGCCUUAAAGACCUCGGCGAGGCCUCACCGGCUUUAGGCGUAGUAGAAUUUAUUCGAACGUCUGUCAAAGGAGAGGACUUCUGCCGACUGAAACCUUUAUUUUUCUAGGUUGACCUCGGAUCAGGUAGGGAUACCCGCUGAACUUAAGCAUAUCAAUAAGGCGGAGGAAUAAUUUUCCGCGCGUA